AUUGAGGACUAGCAGGAUGGGAAAUGAGGGUGCUCAUCACUCGGAACGUCCUUAUUACUGUACUAUUAAGGUUCAUACUUUGAUGUGCUCGGAACUGAAGAACUUCAUUGAUAGAAUAUCACAGAUAUAUUUGGCUAUUGAAUCUGCCAGACCAAGAUGCAGUACAGGGCUACAGACAUUAUGCUAUUUGCAUGCUGCUAUGGAUAAAGCAAGACUACUCAUCCAGCACUGUUCCGAAAGUAGUAAACUCUACUUGGCAUUUCAAUCAGAUAGGAUACUCUGGAGAUGCGAAAACGUAAGAAAGGCUCUGGAUUUAUACUUAGGCCAAAUUCAAAAUAUGGUUCCAACAUUGCUGGCUGCCAAGGUUUGUUAUUUUCAUGCCCUUAAAGUAUUUGUUGCUUUGUUAUGUCAAUUAAUAUAUGCUGCUACAGAUCCCAAGUGCUUGAGAAUUGGGUUUUGCACCUUCUCUGUCCAAUAUAGUCAUAUUUCUGUUACUUUGUAGCUUGUGAGAUCAUUUCUUAGGAAACAUCCAGUUUUAAACUAUGCUUAGUUGUUUUUAUUUUAUGAUCUCAAAUAAAUUAAAACAUUCCAACUGUUGAGUCAAUGUUUGCUCGUGCUGAGUCUCUUCUGAAUGGAAAGCACUCAUGUUGUUGUCCAAGUUUUCCAAAAUCACUUUGGUAGUUCCUUAAAUUUCAUUUACAUUCUUUUCCAGGUUUAGCUACUUGGUGAAAGCCUAAUUAAACAAUUGCUCAAGAAGGUCAAAUUUUGAGCAAAAUGUGUUGCAUUUUCUUUUCAAAUGAUUCAAAAUCUGUUUAAUCCUAUACAUAUGUGAAAGGACUCAUUUAAUUGAUAUCACAGCAUGGUAGACUUGGUUCAAGUUGAAAAUGACGUGGAGUUAUCACAAUUCCUUUCCUAUCUGCUUGCCUAUCUUAAUUUGAAAACCUGAAUCUUUUCUAGGUCUUCCUCACUCUGUUACAUACUUAGACACUUCUCUUUUAAGUUCUUCCUAAGAAUUCAGAAGAGAAAUUCCAUCUGCAGAUAUCUGGAAUUGUGGAAGAUCUUAGGGGUGCGAAGUUUCAGCUAGAAUCUUCUGAAGUUGAGGCUGGAAAGGUUGUAAAAGAUUUGCUUAGGCAGGACAUGCCUGCAUCAGAUUCUAUAAACAAUGCAGAACUAGAGGCCCUUGAAUUUGCAGCUGUGAGACUGAAAAUUACAUCCCCUUUGGCUGUUUUGAUAGAAAAAAGAUCCAUCAAGAAACUACAAGAGAAAGUUCGUGAUACGGACCCAAAAAAGAAAAUCUUGGAGUUUUUCUUGUAUCUUUUGAGGAAAUAUGGAAGACAUAUUGGGCAAUGCCAAACCAAUGGUGGCUUUCGUCAGCAUGAGGAAUGCAAGACUCGAACUACUGACAAACCUGCUCCACCAGACCCGCCACUCGAAUUUAAGUGUCCAAUCUCUAUGAGACUAAUGUAUGACCCAGUAAUCAUUGAUUCUGGGAAAACGUAUGAACGAGUUUGGAUUGAGAAAUGGUUUGGUGAGGGGAAUGAUACAUGUCCAGUAACAAAUAUAAAACUGGACAAUUUAUACCUGACUGCAAAUGUUGUAAUGAAGGGCCUCAUUUCAAAGUGGUGUUCAGAUCAUGGGAUCAAUAUUUCUGAACCAUGUGCACAAACAAUUCCAGCUUCAGUUUCCUCAAAGAAGCUUUUAUCCCUUACAUCCAUUGCUAGCAUUGGCAGUUCUGUGAAUGAUUUGCGCCUUCAAGUUAGCAAUGUCUCACUUAGAUCUACAGAUACAAAUUGUGGAGCAGAUUUAGUAGAUGAUGAUAACAAUGCUAAUUUCAGUGUUGGACUCCCUCAAAUGAAUGCAGGUGCUUGUGUAAGUCAGUCAUCUAUAAGUGCCCAUAGCAUAAUUAGGAUGGCAUCGCUCUCCAAACUGGACUCACUUCCAUGGGAAUACCGGUGCAAGGCAGUGCAAGAUAUUAAAGAACAACUGAACAAAAAUGAGCAGGAAUGUGAUUGGCUAUUUAACAAUAGUUAUAUGAAGCUACUGAUUAAAUUUUUGAAGGAUGCGUAUGACUCUUCUGAUGAAAAAGCCCAGGAUGAUUUGGCAGAGGUGCUUUUGGCAAUUUUAAGUAAAAGCAGAUUUGGAUUGCCUCCCUUUGACGAAGAUGCAAUGUACAUGUUAGCAUCAUUUCUUGAUUCUAAAAUCACCAGCAAGGCUCUUGCUAUCAUGGAAGUGCUAUCAUGCCAACCAUCGUAUAAUUCUGGAAUUCUUGCAUCUGGAGUUCUACCUUCCAUCCUAAAAGUCCUUGAUGUGCAAAGUAGGGAGUUCCAUGAGGUUGCCAUGAAGAUACUCUGUAAUUUGUCCUGCAAGAGUGACAUAGCAUACCACAUUGUGUAUUUGGAUUGCAUCCCAAAGUUGGUUCCUUUUCUAUAUGAUCAGAGUCUUGCAGGAUAUUGCCUUAAUAUUAUGAAGUCCUUGUGUGAUAUUGAGGAAGGUAAGAAUGCAGUUGCUGAAACUAAUUCUUGCGUUGCUUCAAUUGUCACUCUUCUGGAAACUGGUAGCAAGCAUGAGCAAGAAACUGCAAUGGAAGUUCUACUGUCUCUAUGCUAUGAGCACAUUGAACAUUGUCAACAGAUCAUGGGAGAAGGUACUGUAAAAUCUUUGAUCAAUAUGUCUGUUAAUGGGAAUCCAAGAGUAAAGGUUAUUGCCUCAGAAUUGCUCCAGAUUUUGGGGCAUACAACAGAAGGUGAUGUCUCAAAUUGUUCUACAUUUAGUGCUGGCUUGAGCAUGGGCAUCUCCAGUGACUCUGGCAGUGGUAAUCAUAUUAAAGUGAAAAAAUCACCUUCCAAGGGAUUUGGAUAUCUGGGAAGAAAAAUUGCGAGACUUUUUCACCACAGUCGUUAGUGAGAAAUUGUCUACUGAGAGUUCAUGUGGUGGGAUUUUUUUUUUUUUAACAAAAUAGCAUAGAAUGUAACCAAGAAGUAGCUGUCAAACACUUACAUGAAUAUUGGAUGAGCGAUUACUUUCUGUUUGAUGUAGAAAAUUACCAUGUUUUUGCAUUUCUAGUGAGAAGCAAUUUUGCUAAUUUGAUAAUGUUUGGCUUUUUUUGAAUCACCUAUGACUCUACCUUUUGGAUAAAGUU
RNAcentral lists this unclassified non-coding RNA (3139 nucleotides) under Hevea brasiliensis (rubber tree). Lineage: Eukaryota; Viridiplantae; Streptophyta; Magnoliopsida; Malpighiales; Euphorbiaceae. The record is from RNAcentral.